AGCCCUCCAGGUCUCCUGCUAGGGGACGUUGUAAAUGAGGAAUCAAAGCAAGGAGUCUGUGAGUGGAGCAAUGAACUUCGGCAGGGGGAUAACUGUUGUUCUGUCAGGACUUUUGUCACAACUAUGCAAAAUACAAUGCCAGGCCUGGUGGAGCAGGAUCCUCCAGGAUCCAGGAGGCAAGCGGAUCUCUGUGAGUUCAAGACCAGCCCUAUCUGCAUAGUGGGUUCCAAGACUGCCAGGAAUACACAGGCCUCCCCUGUCCUGGAACUCUCUGGUGGGGGUCACUCCUGCCUCCACCUCUAAAAUUCUGACUCACGCCCAGGACCAAUGUGCUCCUCACUGUGCUGCAGAUUUCGGGCAUUCAAGCAAAAAUCAGGACAGAGCCAGGUGUGGUGACACACCUGUAACCCCAGCAUUUUAGAGGCUGUGGCAAGAGGACUGAGUGAGAGAGCAGCCAGGGCUGCAUGGCGAGCCCUGGUAUCAAGAAACCAAAUGGAUUAACAAUAAAGUCUCAAUGGGCAAAAUGACCCCUGAGACAGACUAUCCAAGGACUGUGGUGACAAAUGCACCCAGCCAGUCAACCCAACCUCUCUGCCAUUUGCAGUCAGAGCAGGUUCUGGUAAGUGCAGUGGCUCCUCCAGGUCUCCUCAUCCCUCCACUCUGAGGUCCCCAUCACA
This 677-nucleotide long non-coding RNA is filed under the name Rattus norvegicus (Norway rat). Its description in RNAcentral is "long non-coding RNA NONRATT004537". Lineage: Eukaryota; Metazoa; Chordata; Mammalia; Rodentia; Muridae. The record is from RNAcentral.